This is a long non-coding RNA of Triticum aestivum (bread wheat), 1430 nucleotides long. RefSeq lists it as uncharacterized. The record is from RefSeq and is a predicted model, not a curated record. NCBI's taxonomy places the organism in Eukaryota, Viridiplantae, Streptophyta, Magnoliopsida, Poales, Poaceae. The transcript has 2 exons.
CAAGGUCGGGUACAAGCCCGAUGUGGUCGUUGGAGGGAAGGACCUGGAGCACGACUGGAGGGCGCACCGUGGGAUGGGCUACUUCAUCGAGCCGCUCGUUUUGCUCGGCCUCUUCGCCAGGUCGACCUUGUCCAUUCGUCUCAAAGCUGAAGGGUGUUUUCUUAUCCUGUUUCUGCUUGAGAUUAAUUGAUUCGAUGUCAGAUUAUGUGUAUAUACUUGCAAGUUCAAAAUGUAGUAUAAUAGUGUUGAUAUAAUGUAGUGCUGGGCACCACCUCGUGUGUUUAUCAUACACAUGCACUGUGAUUAUCUAAUUUAGCACGUUGCUGGUCUUAUAAUGCUACUCUGCAUACUUAACUUGCUGCCUGGUAGGGGUUCCCCUUGAAGGAUUGAUUGUUCUCUGUAUCCUACCAUGAUAUAUUCUCAGCGAUUUUACUGAAAUUGCUGUAGUCUGAAAAAUAGUUAACAGUUUCUCUGUUUGGUACUAUUAAACUGAUAGUCAGAGAAACUUUUAAAUUGUUGGUUUCAUACUACUCACAACCAACAGAUGAAUUUCAGUACUUCUGUUUGGUACUAUUUGCCACUAGUAAGAACAAUUGUUUGUGAAGCUAGUAAAAAUCAUGGAACUUAAAAGGUCAAAUAUGUUGAUUUAUCUCUUUUCAGCCUUAACAGAGAAGAUGGAGUUAUCCGUUCUAUUUAGCCUAUUUUUACUUGGGUUGGAUUAACCUGUGAACAAAAUUCAAGUUCCUAUAAUACUAAAUUAAAUCUAGUUUUUGCACAUCAUAUUGUUUUCAGGUUUAGCACCUGAGCUGUAUUCUUCCACAUGAAUGGAACCACUUAGGGUUAUUUUAGCACGUUGCAGUUCCAGCCUGAGAGAAACUGCAGUUUCCCCUCCAACUCAGUGAUUAUUGGUCCACAUGAAUGACAUGUUUUUAAAUCUAUUUCCUAAUUUUGUGGUCUGCGGAACAAGGCUCAUUGCUGUAGCUGCUCAAAAGUUCAUUGCAGACAUCGCAGACAUUGCUGUUACUUAGUAUAUGUUGCAUUGUAGUUUCGCUGGAGAUUUUGCUUGAGAGCCACUUGGAUUCACGCAGCAUCAGGAGGAGCUCAAGCACGACCACCAAGAGGCACCACCACAGCAGCAGGGCGAUCAUGGAGGGCAUGCAGUCAUUCUGUUAGCCCAGUCCAGUGAGUCCGGCAUUUGAUCUCUAUCGAAGCAGCUCCAUGUUGAAGAAGAAAACACUUGUAGAGCUUGUAACAUUACUUGGAGAGCUUGUAAAGUACUGUAGAGCUUUGCAUUUGUAGAGCUUGUAAAGCAUUGUAUAUGUUGAGCUUGUAUUACGUGUCAUUUGUAGAGCUUGUAGUGAAUCUGGCUAUUGUUAUUUGAAUUAUUAUGUGUAUUUUCUGCUUGCCUAUUUAAAUACUGGUUGUUUUCU